RNAcentral lists this ribosomal RNA (253 nucleotides) under uncultured bacterium. RNAcentral's name for it is "partial 16S ribosomal RNA". It matches the Rfam family "Bacterial small subunit ribosomal RNA", at positions 524 to 776 of the family's 1533-position model. The record is from RNAcentral.
UACGAAGGGGGCUAGCGUUGCUCGGAAUGACUGGGCGUAAAGGGCGCGUAGGCGGUUUGUACAGUCAGGUGUGAAAUUCCCGGGCUCAACCUGGGGGCUGCACUUGAUACGUAUGGACUGGAGUGGGGAAGAGGGUCGUGGAAUUCCCAGUGUAGAGGUGAAAUUCGUAGAUAUUGGGAAGAACACCAGUGGCGAAGGCGGCUAACUGGUCCAGAUCUGACGCUGAGGUGCGAAAGCGUGGGGAGCAAACAGG